RNAcentral lists this transfer RNA (69 nucleotides) under Paulasterias sp. SS-2022. RNAcentral describes it as "tRNA-Thr". It matches the Rfam family "tRNA". Rfam says of the family: Transfer RNA (tRNA) molecules are approximately 80 nucleotides in length. Their secondary structure includes four short double-helical elements and three loops (D, anti-codon, and T loops). Further hydrogen bonds mediate the characteristic L-shaped molecular structure. tRNAs have two regions of fundamental functional importance: the anti-codon, which is responsible for specific mRNA codon recognition, and the 3' end, to which the tRNAs corresponding amino acid is attached (by aminoacyl-tRNA synthetases). tRNAs cope with the degeneracy of the genetic code in two manners: having more than one tRNA (with a specific anti-codon) for a particular amino acid; and 'wobble' base-pairing, i.e. permitting non-standard base-pairing at the 3rd anti-codon position. The record is from RNAcentral. Lineage: Eukaryota; Metazoa; Echinodermata; Asteroidea; Forcipulatida; Paulasteriidae.
GCCCUAAAAGCUAUAUUAGCAAUUAAUCUUGUAAAUUAAAAGAUAAAGGUUUAAAUCCUUUUUAGUGCU